Molecule: long non-coding RNA, 733 nt
Organism: Cyprinodon variegatus (sheepshead minnow)
Lineage: Eukaryota; Metazoa; Chordata; Actinopteri; Cyprinodontiformes; Cyprinodontidae
Exons: 2
Source: RefSeq, a predicted model, not a curated record
CGCCAACUGGAAGAGGAUGUUGUUAGCAGGCAGUGUAGAUGCACAGCCUUUUCACAACAAUAACAUCAACUAAUAUUUGCAUCUUUACAUCUCCGGACUGUGGAUUACACUUUGUCAACCUCCUCGGAUCCGGAUAUUGGAUAGCAAACCUUACAUUUACACAUAUUUGAAGUUCUGUUUUCUUUAGACAAUGGAACAGGAUGGGUUUGCAGGUCUACUGGACUGUUUUUUCGCUAAAGCAGAAAAAAGAGUCUUUCCUUGCCAGCUAGGCCGCAGAAGAUUUUUGUCACGAUGAGCAAGAGUCGACUGGUGGUAGAAUAUUGGAUUACUUGUCUAUACGUCUAUAGUUUGCAGCUGCUUUGGAACAUAAGCGUUUAUAGCGAUAUUAUCGUUCUUUUUUGCCGUUUUAGUUUGAGCCGACAACUGAAGCUAACGAGCCCGUUAGCUUCUCAACCUUGACUGGCUGUCUAGUCCCAGUAGGUAGCUGGCUAGCUAGCGCUCUCUUAGCAACCUAAGCAAUUGGGGUUAAACUUUUCGUUUGGCUCUACGUUCACCAGAGGGUUCCCCCAAGGAUUUUGGCUCCACCAUUUGUUUUUAUUUUUUUCGAGGUUGCUUCUGGAUGAAUGUGGAACAAAAUGGAGACGCCGACGAUUGUGUACGAUUUGGAUACCUCUGGAGGCUUGAUGGAGCAAAUCCAAACUCUGUUGGCACCUCCGAAGUCAGAAGAUGUUGA